GAAUAUUGGGCAAUGGAGGAGACUCUGACCCAGCCAUGCCGCGUGCAGGAAGACGGCCCUAUGGGUUGUAAACUGCUUUUAUACAGGAAGAAACACUGGUAUGUAUACCAGCUUGACGGUACUGUAAGAAUAAGGACCGGCUAACUCCGUGCCAGCAGCCGCGGUAAUACGGAGGGUCCGAGCGUUAUCCGGAAUCAUUGGGUUUAAAGGGUCCGCAGGCGUCAAUUAAGUCAGAGGUGAAAUCCCGUCGCUCAACGACGGAACUGCCUUUGAUACUGGUUGACUUGAGUCAUAUGGAAGUAGAUAGAAUGUGUAGUGUAGCGGUGAAAUGCAUAGAUAUUACACAGAAUACCGAUUGCGAAGGCAGUCUACUACGUAUGUACUGACGCUCAUGGACGAAAGCGUGGGGAGCGAACAGGAUUAGAUACCCUGGUAGUCCACGCCGUAAACGAUGGAUACUAGUUGUUGGGCAUUAGCUCAGUGACUAAGCGAAAGUGAUAAGUAUCCCACCUGGGGAGUACGGUCGCAAGACUGAAACUCAAA
Molecule: ribosomal RNA, 543 nt
Filed under: uncultured bacterium
Lineage: Bacteria
Description: bacterial SSU rRNA
Rfam family: Bacterial small subunit ribosomal RNA
Source: RNAcentral